Molecule: ribosomal RNA, 1203 nt
Filed under: Campylobacter jejuni
Lineage: Bacteria; Pseudomonadati; Campylobacterota; Epsilonproteobacteria; Campylobacterales; Campylobacteraceae
Description: partial 23S ribosomal RNA
Rfam family: Bacterial large subunit ribosomal RNA
Source: RNAcentral
AGGUAAGCUACUAAGAGCGAAUGGUGGAUGCCUUGACUGGUAAAGGCGAUGAAGGACGUACUAGACUGCGAUAAGCUACGGGGAGCUGUCAAGAAGCUUUGAUCCGUAGAUUUCCGAAUGGGGCAACCCAAUGUAUAGAGAUAUACAUUACCUAUAUAGGAGCGAACGAGGGGAAUUGAAACAUCUUAGUACCCUCAGGAAAAGAAAUCAAUAGAGAUUGCGUCAGUAGCGGCGAGCGAAAGCGCAAGAGGGCAAACCCAGUGCUUGCACUGGGGGUUGUAGGACUGCAAUGUGCAAGAGGUGAGUUUAGCAGAACAUUCUGGAAAGUAUAGCCAUAGAGGGUGAUAGUCCCGUAUGCGAAAAACAAACCUUAGCUAGCAGUAUCCUGAGUAGGGCGGGACACGAGGAAUCCUGUCUGAAUCCGGGUCGACCACGAUCCAACCCUAAAUACUAAUACCAGAUCGAUAGUGCACAAGUACCGUGAGGGAAAGGUGAAAAGAACUGAGGUGAUCAGAGUGAAAUAGAACCUGAAACCAUUUGCUUACAAUCAUUCAGAGCCCUAUGUAGCAAUACAGGGUGAUGGACUGCCUUUUGCAUAAUGAGCCUGCGAGUUGUGGUGUCUGGCAAGGUUAAGCAAACGCGAAGCCGUAGCGAAAGCGAGUCUGAAUAGGGCGCUUAGUCAGAUGCUGCAGACCCGAAACGAAGUGAUCUAUCCAUGAGCAAGUUGAAGCUAGUGUAAGAACUAGUGGAGGACUGAACCCAUAGGCGUUGAAAAGCCCCGGGAUGACUUGUGGAUAGGGGUGAAAGGCCAAUCAAACUUCGUGAUAGCUGGUUCUCUCCGAAAUAUAUUUAGGUAUAGCGUUGUGUCGUAAUAUAAGGGGGUAGAGCACUGAAUGGGCUAGGGCAUACACCAAUGUACCAAACCCUAUCAAACUCCGAAUACCUUAUAUGUAAUCACAGCAGUCAGGCGGCGAGUGAUAAAAUCCGUCGUCAAGAGGGAAACAACCCAGACUACCAGCUAAGGUCCCUAAAUCUUACUUAAGUGGAAAACGAUGUGAAGUUACUUAAACAACCAGGAGGUUGGCUUAGAAGCAGCCAUCCUUUAAAGAAAGCGUAAUAGCUCACUGGUCUAGUGAUUUUGCGCGGAAAAUAUAACGGGGCUAAAGUAAGUACCGAAGCUGUAGACUUAGUUUACUAAGUGGU